This is a long non-coding RNA of Cercocebus atys (sooty mangabey), 1548 nucleotides long. RefSeq lists it as uncharacterized. The transcript has 5 exons. Lineage: Eukaryota; Metazoa; Chordata; Mammalia; Primates; Cercopithecidae. The record is from RefSeq and is a predicted model, not a curated record.
GUUUAAGGUGGAAGGGAGGUUGUUUGUCGGCUGCUUGGGAAGGUAUUGGGAACAGCUUAUGUUUUUCUUUCACAAAAAAGCAGCAGGCACCACAGAGAGAGUCGGCUGUCUAGGUUUUUGAUGUGCACAGACCUUGCUUCUCUGAACCGGGAGAGAGGUGUUUGCCCCUCACUGCGGGGGCCCAGCACAGGUGGUUCCUGCUGGCUCCUGUCCUGGUCAUCUCGUCCUUGGAGUUGUGGGAAUCCCUCCCAGAGUGUGGGAUAGGCUGACAAUCCUGCAUGUUAUUGUUGUGGUGAAUGUUUUCUCUUUAAGGGAUUUCAGUGGGAAAUUUAGAGGAACGUAGAGGAGGCUGUUGGGUAUUUUACCCUGCGUGCUUCCUUUAGAGGCUGUUCUGAGCUAUGGACUUUGUAAUCCUUGGACCCGGGAUUCUUACCAUGUUCUUUUCAACUGGUUUUUUGUUACUGUGUUUGUUCUGAAGACAGUGUCCUGGGGGAAUGAGACUUCUCCUUAACGCGCCGCUUGACUGACAGACACCCUUAAUGUAGCAUGUCCAAGUCUACGUUCUUUCUGAUAAUGAAUGCAUCUGGCAGAGAUGGAAGCCUCAUCUUCUGUUAUUAACAUUGUUUCACAGCCUCAGAUCAGUCACUGCACAACUCCAGGGGAGCCUACACAUCAAAUCGUGAUUUUUUUCAAGGAAGAGGCCAUGAGUACGUCAGCUGAGGUCACUUUGUAAGGAAAAUUGAGAUUGUGUUCCCAAGAUUCCAGCCACUUCCCAGGGACACUGGCUUGGUUCUUGUUCUUACCCAGUUCACUGUCUCAGCUUCCAGAGGACAGAACCUUACCUCACUGGAUCCUUAACAGCUCCUCAUUCCCUGCCUCCUCACCACCCUACCACCUCAGCUGCUGGAAACCAUCAUUCUAUUCUCUAUGUCUAUGAAUUCAACUUAUUAGAUCCACAAAGAGGUGGAGAUGAUGUCGGUGCCAUUACUCGGAUGCCACGGUGGAAAUCAACAUGUCAACCUACCAGACUGUAAGCAAACAGCUUAGAAGGCUGGGACUUUCAUUCAUUUGGUUCACUGCUGUAUCCCUAGUGCUGGGAAAUGUUCCUGAGUGCUCAACAAAUAUGACUUGAAUGAUUAUUUUCUGAAACUUUCAAUUUUAGGAAGCUAAAUUAAAAACCCAUUUGAAAGGGGUCAACUUUGAAGGUGUCUUUACAUUUCUUCCUUAGUUAAGAUCUACUCAGAGAGAUCCGGCACUAUUGUGCUCAAGUAAUACUGUCCUUACCCGACUCCCCUGAAAACAAAUGAGUCCUAAGGCAGCCAGGCAGAUCUUUUAGGAUGUUCCAUCCCACAAGUGAAAUAUAAACAUGCUUCACCCAGGAGAUGACUCUAGUUUCACUAUACAAGACCCUUCAACUUUUUUCACAUUAGACUGAAGUGUUAGGUCAGAUUUCCUCAGUAUGGCAAAGGUGACUCUUUGUUUUGAGACCGAGUCUUGCUCUGGCUCUGUCGCUGGAGUGCAGUGGCACAAUCUGGCUCACGGCAAGCU